AGCAGUGGGGAAUAUUGCACAAUGGGCGCAAGCCUGAUGCAGCCAUGCCGCGUGUGUGAAGAAGGCCUUCGGGUUGUAAAGCACUUUCAGCGGGGAGGAAGGCGGUGAGGUUAAUAACCUCAUCGAUUGACGUUACCCGCAGAAGAAGCAUCGGCUAACUCCGUGCCAGCAGCCGCGGUAAUACGGAGGGUGCAAGCGUUAAUCGGAAUUACUGGGCGUAAAGCGCACGCAGGCGGUCUGUCAAGUCGGAUGUGAAAUCCCCGGGCUUAACCUGGGAACUGCAUUCGAAACUGGCAGGCUAGAGUCUUGUAGAGGGGGGUAGAAUUCCAGGUGUAGCGGUGAAAUGCGUAGAGAUCUGGAGGAAUACCGGUGGCGAAGGCGGCCCCCUGGACAAAGACUGACGCUCAGGUGCGAAAGC
This 418-nucleotide ribosomal RNA is filed under the name Klebsiella pneumoniae. Its description in RNAcentral is "bacterial SSU rRNA". It matches the Rfam family "Bacterial small subunit ribosomal RNA", at positions 350 to 760 of the family's 1533-position model. The record is from RNAcentral. Lineage: Bacteria; Pseudomonadati; Pseudomonadota; Gammaproteobacteria; Enterobacterales; Enterobacteriaceae.